GAUGAACGCUGACAGAAUGCUUAACACAUGCAAGUCAACUUGAACUUCGGUUUGGGUGGCGGACGGGUGAGUAACGCGUAAAGAACUUGCCUCACAGAUAGGGACAACAUUUGGAAACGAAUGCUAAUACCUGAUAUUAUGAUUUUAGGGCAUCCUAGGAUUAUGAAAGCUAUAUGAGCUGUGAGAGAGCUUUGCGUCCCAUUAGCUAGUUGGAGAGGUAACGGCUCACCAAGGCGAUGAUGGGUAGCCGGCCUGAGAGGGUGAUCGGCCACAAGGGGACUGAGACACGGCCCGUACUCCUACGGGAGGCAGCAGUGGGGAAUAUUGGACAAUGGACCAAGAGUCUGAUCCAGCAAUUCUGUGUGCAAGAUGAAGUUUUUCGGAAUGUAAAGUGCUUUCAGUUGGGAAGAAAAAAAUGACGGUACCAACAGAAGAAGUGACGGCUAAAUACGUG
Molecule: ribosomal RNA, 454 nt
Filed under: uncultured bacterium
Lineage: Bacteria
Description: partial 16S ribosomal RNA
Rfam family: Bacterial small subunit ribosomal RNA
Source: RNAcentral